AUGGCCGGCAGCCGGCGCGACGGUUCUUCGAUGCGGCCCAAGUACUGCCACCGCAGAGGAGCUUCUCCGGUAGCGCGGCAGUUGGAGAUGCCCUCAGCCAAUAUAUAUAGAACAGAUUCAGCACUGUGUAUGCUUGUCGUCAAUUCUGAUGGGAGCACUGGUAGCCACAACCGAGGCAUCGUCAUCAUCGGAUGGCGAUGUCGGGGUGGACUUAGAUAUACCAGAUCCGCUCGCUGCCGAGUCGGGCGACAUGGAGGCCUCAGAUGGGUCGGGGUCUACCUCGAGCAACACUUCCAAGAGGAAGAAAUCCGGGCGUGGUCCGGGGAAGGUCCCGGAACCAACUGCUGCCAGCAACCGUCCUGUCAUUUGCCCGACAGGAGAGGGGAGCAUUACCUGCACAACAAGGAUGAGCACGAUGUCACCAUGGCCACUCGGGUCAUCAAUGCUUUUUUUGAAACAUUUGCUUGCGUGGAUGGUGAGAAGCAGAAGGCGAUCAAAGGCAUCGUGAAAUCUGCCCGAAAGAUACUCUCUGACCUCAAGCACACGCUGCGGUACAAAGCUGUGAUGAAGUGUCGGCCGCUCGAUGAGAAGGGAGAGAAGAUGACAAGGAAGACUGCUUGCCAGACCAACAUGUCGCGAGAAGAAUACCUGUCAGUGUUGAAGGAACCCUGGAUAAAGGAUGAUUGUUGGGAGGCCUUGGUUGACAUGUGGUGUAACCCAGCAUGGCAGGCGCAACAUGUGGAGAAGGGAAACGAUCGAGCCAAAAUGACAGGCCCGACUCAUGAGGCGAAGGAGGGUCACCCGGUCCACAUCCUGGAAGCCUGUAGAGAAGUCCACAAGGGGAAGGAUGGCGCCGAGUUCUGCAGUGAGUCGGCGGAGGAGAAGUGGGGGGCCUUCAAAGAGGUCUUCCAGGAGGGGAAGGGCCAUGGCCGCCACCUCCUUUGCAACGGGGCGAUCGCCACCUCCGGGCAUCGCAAGCUGCACGAGAUACGCACGUCGAGCACCAGCUCAACUCCGUCCAUACGGAGUCGCCCAACCGCCGCAUCACGUGAGAUAGCGCGUCUCAAGGAGCAAAGGCGGCAGGCUGAGAAGGACUCCAGAGAAAAGGAACGGGAAGACACGAACAAGAGGUUGAAGCUGCUUGAGGAUAAACUAGAGCUCUCGGAAAAGAAGGCGAGCAAUGCCGAGACUAGCUCUCGGCAAAGCUAUGUAAACUGUCAGCUCCCAUGUGGGCCACGUUGUCCUACUGGUCAGAAGGAUUGCCGAGAGCUGCUCUCGGCAAAGAUAUCGUCAUUUUUUUCAAAAAAUGCUCAGCAGAACAGGAUGAAGUCCCUGAUAGAAACGGCCACUGUUGACUUGUGCAGCAGCAGCAGUCUCAUAGGCCUCUACGACUUCAUUGUCAAGAGCCCUAUUUGGGGGAAUUCAGAGUCCUUUCUGGGUGAUUAUCUGGGAUCUGAUUCUGACUACGAGCCUGGCUCGGAAGAUUACGACAACUACUGCGAUCCUUCCGGCUACCUUGAUGGCGUGUACGAGGACGAGCUUGAUGAUGAAGCGAGGAUGCUUCUCAGGGGCAUGCCUAGGCGGGCCUGUGCUUUGCCGCUUCUAUCAGUGUCGUGGAUCUGCUUCUGCGUCGGCUCGUCCUACAAUAUCGCAGGCUCCGUUUCGUGCUUUGUCCAGCCAUCUACGAGUACUUCUAGUGAAACAUGUCGUGUUGGGAGCCCUUUUACCUCUGCAGUUUGGUUACAAGUCAAUGUGAAAUAUGAUGUGUGCUGUAUUCGUGCACCCAUUUUUGGCCGCGUUGCUGCUGCUUCGAGCUCGUACCUCUGCCCGGCGACUUGGGUGACGCGCCGGCGUCGUUUGCUGCAGCCCUUGCCGUGCCGGAGAUUUGUGCUUCCCGGCGGCAGCUGCCUAGCCUCAGUUCUGAUUGCCUUCAGUAUGGACCCACUCAUGCAAUAA
Molecule: ribosomal RNA, 1956 nt
Filed under: Triticum aestivum (bread wheat)
Lineage: Eukaryota; Viridiplantae; Streptophyta; Magnoliopsida; Poales; Poaceae
Description: partial small subunit ribosomal RNA
Source: RNAcentral